CACGCAGUAAACGAUGAUUACUAGUUGUUUGCGAUACAAUGUAAGCGACUGAGCGAAAGCGUUAAGUAAUCCACCUGGGGAGUACGUUCGCAAGAAUGAAACUCAAAGGAAUUGACGGGGGCCCGCACAAGCGGAGGAACAUGUGGUUUAAUUCGAUGAUACGCGAGGAACCUUACCCGGGCUUGAAAUGCGGCGGACCGGCGGAGAGAUCCGCUUUCCCUUCGGGGCCGCCGUGUAGGUGC
RNAcentral lists this ribosomal RNA (242 nucleotides) under uncultured Petrimonas sp. RNAcentral's name for it is "partial 16S ribosomal RNA". It matches the Rfam family "Bacterial small subunit ribosomal RNA", at positions 796 to 1041 of the family's 1533-position model. The record is from RNAcentral. Lineage: Bacteria; Pseudomonadati; Bacteroidota; Bacteroidia; Bacteroidales; Dysgonomonadaceae.